UGGAUCUCCAUUGAAUGUGACCAAUGGUAAAUUGCACUAUAACGCAACGACGUUUGGAUCAACCGCUUCUCUUGUCUGUGAAAGAGGAUAUGAUGGAAACGGUACAAUAAGCUGCCUUGCCACUGGCAGUUGGGAAACCCCACCAAAAUGUUCUAUUAAAGACUGUGGAUCUCCAUUGAAUGUGACCAAUGGUAAAUUGCAGUAUAACGCAACGACGUUUGGAUCAACCGCUUCUCUUGUCUGUGAAAGAGGAUAUGGUGGAAACGGUACAAUAAGCUGCCUUGCCACUGCCAGUUGGGAAAGCCCACCAAAAUGUUCUAUUAAAGACUGUGGAUCUCCAUUGAAUGUGACCAAUGGUAAAUUGCACUAUAUCGCAACGACGUUUGGAUCAACCGCUUCUCUUGCCUGUGAAAGAGGAUAUGAUGGAAAUGGUACAAUAAGCUGCCUUGACACUGGCAGUUGGGAAAACUAACCAAAAUGUUCUA
This is a long non-coding RNA of Ruditapes philippinarum (Manila clam), 485 nucleotides long. RefSeq lists it as uncharacterized. The transcript has 3 exons. NCBI's taxonomy places the organism in Eukaryota, Metazoa, Mollusca, Bivalvia, Venerida, Veneridae. The record is from RefSeq and is a predicted model, not a curated record.